GGCGAUGUGGUGCAAAGGGAGCACAGCAGCUCUGUUAAGAAGAAUGUCAUGUUAGUGGCAUAAUCAGCAAACUCCUUUCAAUAACAAUCCCAAGCUGCGGAUAGAGGUUCGAUUCCUCUCAUCGUCU
This 127-nucleotide transfer RNA is filed under the name Bacteriophage sp. RNAcentral's name for it is "tRNA-Asn". It matches the Rfam family "tRNA". From Rfam's summary of the family: Transfer RNA (tRNA) molecules are approximately 80 nucleotides in length. Their secondary structure includes four short double-helical elements and three loops (D, anti-codon, and T loops). RNAcentral also lists the same sequence under 4 other names. The record is from RNAcentral.